Long non-coding RNA from Synchiropus splendidus (mandarinfish), 365 nucleotides. RefSeq lists it as uncharacterized. Lineage: Eukaryota; Metazoa; Chordata; Actinopteri; Syngnathiformes; Callionymidae. The record is from RefSeq and is a predicted model, not a curated record. The transcript is spliced from 4 exons.
GCGAAGGCUGGCACAGAAGAGCAGCGCGUCCCAGAACAAAUACUCACAGGAUUCAUCCGUACUUGUCAGUGAGACUCUCUCCUUCCAGAGCGAGCAGCUGAAGAUGGAUAACGGCGGGGGAAAAGAGCGUGGAGGAGAGAGCGGAGGAGAGCCCGGCAAGGGUCAAGGGUCAGAGGAAAAGAAAUGCCGACAUAAACACAAAAAGGGACACCACCACCAGGGUUGCCACAAAGGGCCCAAAGAGAGUCAAGGGUCGGACAGCAGUGACUGCAGCUGCGAGUCCGACUAGCUCUUCACAACAGGAAGUGGCCAUGGUGAUUCAUGCUGAGCUGAUUCAAGUACCAUUGGCAUAAAAUAAAAUGUUC